UGGGGAAUAUUGCACAAUGGGCGCAAGCCUGAUGCAGCAACGCCGCGUGAACGAUGAAGGUCUUCGGAUCGUAAAGUUCUGUUGCAGGGGAAGAUAAUGACGGUACCCUGUGAGGAAGCCCCGGCUAACUACGUGCCAGCAGCCGCGGUAAUACGUAGGGGGCUAGCGUUAUCCGGAUUUACUGGGCGUAAAGGGUGCGUAGGUGGUCUUUCAAGUCGGUGGUUAAAGGCUACGGCUCAACCGUAGUUAGCCUCCGAAACUGGAAGACUUGAGUGCAGGAGAGGAAAGUGGGAUUCCCAGUGUAGCGGUGGAAUGCGUGGAUAUUGGGAGGAACACCAGUAGCGAGGGCGGCUUUCUGGACUGCAACUGACACUGAGGCACGAAAGCGUGGGUAGCAAACAGG
Molecule: ribosomal RNA, 403 nt
Filed under: Verrucomicrobiota bacterium
Lineage: Bacteria; Pseudomonadati; Verrucomicrobiota
Description: Verrucomicrobia bacterium partial 16S ribosomal RNA
Rfam family: Bacterial small subunit ribosomal RNA
Source: RNAcentral